This 428-nucleotide ribosomal RNA is filed under the name uncultured bacterium. RNAcentral describes it as "bacterial SSU rRNA". It matches the Rfam family "Bacterial small subunit ribosomal RNA", at positions 917 to 1344 of the family's 1533-position model. The record is from RNAcentral.
GGGCCCGCACAAGCGGUGGAGCAUGUGGUUUAAUUCGAUGCAACGCGAAGAACCUUACCUACUCUUGACAUCCAGAGAACUUUCCAGAGAUGGAUUGGUGCCUUCGGGAACUCUGAGACAGGUGCUGCAUGGCUGUCGUCAGCUCGUGUUGUGAAAUGUUGGGUUAAGUCCCGCAACGAGCGCAACCCUUAUCCUUGUUUGCCAGCGAGUAAUGUCGGGAACUCCAGGGAGACUGCCGGUGAUAAACCGGAGGAAGGUGGGGACGACGUCAAGUCAUCAUGGCCCUUACGAGUAGGGCUACACACGUGCUACAAUGGCGCAUACAGAGGGCGGCCAACUUGCGAGAGUGAGCGAAUCCCAAAAAGUGCGUCGUAGUCCGGAUCGGAGUCUGCAACUCGACUCCGUGAAGUCGGAAUCGCUAGUAAUCG